AUUGAACGCUGGCGGCAUGCCUUACACAUGCAAGUCGAACGGCAGCACGGGAGCAAUCCUGGUGGCGAGUGGCGAACGGGUGAGUAAUAUAUCGGAACGUGCCCAGUCGUGGGGAUAACGUAGCGAAAGCUACGCUAAUACCGCAUACGAUCUAUGGAUGAAAGCGGGGGAUCGCAAGACCUCGCGCGAUUGGAGCGGCCGAUAUCAGAUUAGGUAGUUGGUGAGGUAAAGGCUCACCAAGCCGACGAUCUGUAGCUGGUCUGAGAGGACGACCAGCCACACUGGGACUGAGACACGGCCCAGACUCCUACGGAGGCAGCAGUGGGGAAUUUUUGGACAAUGGACGCAAGUCUGAUCCAGCCAUUCCGCGUGCAGGAUGAAGGCCCUCGGGUUGUAAACUGCUUUUUGUACGGAACGAAAAGGUUCUAUUAAUACUAGGAGCUCAUGACGGUACCGUAAGAAU
This 463-nucleotide ribosomal RNA is filed under the name uncultured bacterium. RNAcentral's name for it is "bacterial SSU rRNA". It matches the Rfam family "Bacterial small subunit ribosomal RNA", at positions 30 to 487 of the family's 1533-position model. The record is from RNAcentral.